This is a long non-coding RNA of Esox lucius (northern pike), 695 nucleotides long. RefSeq lists it as uncharacterized. The record is from RefSeq and is a predicted model, not a curated record. NCBI's taxonomy places the organism in Eukaryota, Metazoa, Chordata, Actinopteri, Esociformes, Esocidae. The transcript is spliced from 5 exons.
UAAAGAGCUAACCUUACAUCGUAGCGAAAGAGUAUCGACUUUGGGACGUUUGUUAUCGCUAGCGUUACAUUAUUAAAAGUUUAGCUCUUGUAUUCAAUCAUGUUUCUUAUAACAGUAUUCCAUAAUGUAAGUAUAUUAAAUACACAGGAAAAAGGUUGAACGUGAACAAAGUUGGGCUACUCACACGACGAAAACUGUUGCCAGCAGCACCAGCCCUGUGUGAUACCUGGUUCAGUGCCCGAGAGUCUUCCAUGACUCUGCAGUAGAGUGGAGAACAUACUGCGACCAUGCCCCAAUGAUGUGCCUGUCUCUCUGGCCCUGGACACCUUACCGGCCCAGGCAGCAGAUCCCUUCCAUACACAUCUCUUCUCACUCUCAGAACCCAAGAGAGGACAGAUCAAGCCUUCCCUGUCUUACUGUGAGAAGGAGUGGGUUUAUGCGUUCCAUGUCCCCGUUUGAUGCCUCCAAAAGCAGCAUCUACUGAACCCACCAUCCCACAUGACCGAACACAGAAUAAACAGACCCUCAAGACACUAGAAAGAUUGGGCUUUGCCAGGAAUACCAGGCCAAAUGGCUGGUGGGCUGCUGGACAGAAGAGCUCAUUCCCCUCAACACAGACCGCCACGGUAGGUAAUUAACACCCGCUACCGCCAAAUGCGAGUAGUUGUUUCCUGUUCGCAUAGAUUUACCAAAAC